RNAcentral lists this ribosomal RNA (783 nucleotides) under Salmonella enterica. RNAcentral describes it as "partial 23S ribosomal RNA". It matches the Rfam family "Bacterial large subunit ribosomal RNA", at positions 210 to 1030 of the family's 2925-position model. Lineage: Bacteria; Pseudomonadati; Pseudomonadota; Gammaproteobacteria; Enterobacterales; Enterobacteriaceae. The record is from RNAcentral.
CCCGAGGAAAAGAAAUCAACCGAGAUUCCCCCAGUAGCGGCGAGCGAACGGGGAGGAGCCCAGAGCCUGAAUCAGCAUGUGUGUUAGUGGAAGCGUCUGGAAAGGCGCGCGAUACAGGGUGACAGCCCCGUACACAAAAGCGCAUGUGCUGUGAGCUCGAUGAGUAGGGCGGGACACGUGGUAUCCUGUCUGAAUAUGGGGGGACCAUCCUCCAAGGCUAAAUACUCCUGACUGACCGAUAGUGAACCAGUACCGUGAGGGAAAGGCGAAAAGAACCCCGGCGAGGGGAGUGAAAAAGAACCUGAAACCGUGUACGUACAAGCAGUGGGAGCACAGGUUUACCUGUGUGACUGCGUACCUUUUGUAUAAUGGGUCAGCGACUUAUAUUCUGUAGCAAGGUUAACCGUAUAGGGGAGCCGGAGGGAAACCGAGUCUUAACCGGGCGUUAAGUUGCAGGGUAUAGACCCGAAACCCGGUGAUCUAGCCAUGGGCAGGUUGAAGGUUGGGUAACACUAACUGGAGGACCGAACCGACUAAUGUUGAAAAAUUAGCGGAUGACCUGUGGCUGGGGGUGAAAGGCCAAUCAAACCGGGAGAUAGCUGGUUCUCCCCGAAAGCUAUUUAGGUAGCGCCUCGUGAAUUCAUCUCCGGGGGUAGAGCACUGUUUCGGCUAGGGGGCCAUCCCGGCUUACCAACCCGAUGCAAACUGCGAAUACCGGAGAAUGUUAUCACGGGAGACACACGGCGGGUGCUAACGUCCGUCGUGAAGAGGGAAACAACCCAG